RNAcentral lists this ribosomal RNA (331 nucleotides) under uncultured Pseudomonas sp. RNAcentral describes it as "bacterial SSU rRNA". It matches the Rfam family "Bacterial small subunit ribosomal RNA", at positions 1050 to 1382 of the family's 1533-position model. The record is from RNAcentral. Lineage: Bacteria; Pseudomonadati; Pseudomonadota; Gammaproteobacteria; Pseudomonadales; Pseudomonadaceae.
UGUCGUCAGCUCGUGUCGUGAGAUGUUGGGUUAAGUCCGUAACGAGCGCAACCCUUGUCCUUAGUUACCAGCACGUUAUGUGGGCACUCUAAGGAGACUGCCGGUGACAAACCGGAGGAAGGUGGGGAUGACGUCAAGUCAUCAUGGCCCUUACGGCCUGGGCUACACACGUGCUACAAUGGUCGGUACAAAGGGUUGCCAAGCCGCGAGGUGGAGCUAAUCCCAUAAAACCGAUCGUAGUCCGGAUCGCAGUCUGCAACUCGACUGCGUGAAGUCGGAAUCGCUAGUAAUCGUGAAUCAGAAUGUCACGGUGAAUACGUUCCCGGGCCUU